GCAGCUGGAAGAUGGCGGCGUCCGUGGUCUGUCGGACUGCUACCGCAGGGGCACGAGUGCUAUUGCGCGCCCGCUGCUCGCCGGCCCUGCUGCGGACGCCAGCCUUGCGGAGUACGGCAACCUUCGCUCAGGCGCUCCAGUUCGUGCCGGAGACGCAGGUUAGCCUGCUGGACAACGGCCUGCGUGUGGCCUCCGAGCAAUCCUCUCAGCCCACUUGCACGGGAACAAAGAAUCGGCCUGGCAGUGCCCUGGAGAAGGAGGUGGAGAGCAUGGGGGCCCAUCUUAAUGCCUACAGCACCCGGGAGCACACAGCUUACUACAUCAAGGCGCUGUCCAAGGAUCUGCCGAAAGGUAACACCUGGAGGAAGAGGUGGGGACAGAGGGCAGGGGAGCAGAGGACAGCUACCUAGGAGCCCCUGGCUGACCACAGAAUCAUAUUACCCUUAGCAUAUGGCUUUGCAGCCGGGCAACUAGGGGUGGGCAGCAGGAGAUGCCAGGCCUGGGGAUUUUGUGCUGUCAUUGGUCUGCAGUGGUCCACCUGGCACCUAAACAUGUCCUCUUGAAUCUAGCUGUGGAGCUCCUGGGUGACAUUGUGCAGAACUGUAGUCUGGAAGACUCACAGAUUGAGAAGGAACGUGAUGUGAUCCUGCGGGAGAUGCAGGAGAAUGACGCAUCUAUGCGAGAUGUGGUCUUUAACUACCUGCAUGCCACAGCAUUCCAGGGCACACCUCUAGCCCA
Molecule: small RNA, 738 nt
Filed under: Pongo abelii (Sumatran orangutan)
Lineage: Eukaryota; Metazoa; Chordata; Mammalia; Primates; Hominidae
Description: retained intron
Source: RNAcentral